Molecule: ribosomal RNA, 381 nt
Filed under: Riama orcesi
Lineage: Eukaryota; Metazoa; Chordata; Lepidosauria; Squamata; Gymnophthalmidae
Description: partial 12S ribosomal RNA
Rfam family: Bacterial small subunit ribosomal RNA
Source: RNAcentral
GCUCAGGUAUAAACAAAGACCAACAUCCGCCAGAAAAUUACGGGCGAAAGCCUAAAACUCAAAAGACUUGACGGUGUCUCAACCUACCUAGAGGAGCCUGUUCCAUAAUCGACAACCCCCGAUAAACCCAACCACCCUUAGAUUAUUCAGCCUAUAUACCGCCGUCGUCAGCUUACCUUUCUAAAGCCAUAAAGUAAGCUAAAUAGUUAUAACACUAACAAGUCAGGUCAAGGUGUAGCUUAUAGUGUGGAGGAAAUGGGCUACAUUUUUUAACUUAAACUAAACGAAUUUUACCCUGAAUUUUAAAGGAAAUAAAGGCGGAUUUAGCAGUAAUCUAAACAAGAACAUUUAAAUUAACACCAGCCCUGAGACAUGUACACA